RNAcentral lists this ribosomal RNA (736 nucleotides) under uncultured Archaeospora. Its description in RNAcentral is "LSU rRNA". It matches the Rfam family "Eukaryotic large subunit ribosomal RNA", at positions 47 to 691 of the family's 3401-position model. The record is from RNAcentral. Lineage: Eukaryota; Fungi; Glomeromycota; Glomeromycetes; Archaeosporales; Archaeosporaceae.
UAAGCGGAGGAAAAGAAACUAACCAGGAUUCCCCUAGUAACGGCGAGUGAAGCGGGAAUAGCUCAAAUUUUAAAUCUGGCCGGCGUGGUCGGUCCGAGUUGUAAUUUGAAGAAGCGAUUAUCACGUUUUCGUUCGGGUUCAAGUUCCUUGGAAUAGGACAUCAGAGAGGGUGAGAAUCCCGUCUGUGAUCCGAUCGGCUUCGGUACGAUAACGUUUCUAAGAGUCGAGUUGUUUGGGAUUGCAGCUCAAAAUGGGUGGUAAAUUCCAUCUAAGGCUAAAUAUUGGCGAGAGACCGAUAGCGAACAAGUACCGUGAGGGAAAGAUGAAAAGAACUUUGAAAAGAGAGUUAAACAGUACGUGAAAUUGUUGAUAGGGAAACGAUUGAAGUCAGUCAUGCCAGUGAGAAAUCAGCUUACAGGCUACUGUGAGUGCACUUUUUCGCAAGGCAGGUUAACAUCGGUUUUCGUUGCGUCAUAAUGAUUGUAGGAAGGUGGCUCCUUCGGGAUUGUAUAGCCUACUUUAGAGGCGCGACGAGGACCGAGGAUUGCACGAAAUGCCUUUGGCUACGGAUCUUUCUUCUGUUGAAUCUUUAGUUGAUCGUCAGCUUUGCUGACGAGCGGUUGAUAGGUUUGCAAUAGGAUGGAAUCCGAUAAAUUCGCUAAGGAUGUUGACGUAAUGGCUUUAAACGACCCGUCUUGAAACACGGAUCCAAAGGAGUCUAGCAUAUAAUGCGAGU